AACUUUUUAAUCCUAAAGAGUUGGACUUUAGUUUAAAAUUUUUAUUAUUUUAUACAAAUUGGUAGCCUCUACUUUUAAUUUGAGAAAUUAUCUUAAUUUCUUAGCGAGUACUAGAAUCCACACAGACUGCAUAUAGGCCCAAGAAAAGCUCAGCCAACCCAUGUGCAUCUAUGGGUAGGUUCAUAACCAAUUAUUUUUUCAAAAAAUUUUUAAUAAUUAGUUUUAACCCAGAUGUCUUUUUAGUAGGUGAAGAUCUUCACUGAAAGUUUCGGUUAGGUCCAAUCAUUAAAAUGAACUUACUCAGUGAUUCUAACUAACGAAUGACCAGGC
This 330-nucleotide long non-coding RNA is filed under the name Elaeis guineensis (African oil palm). RNAcentral describes it as "long non-coding RNA (EGUI_LNC066466)". The record is from RNAcentral. Lineage: Eukaryota; Viridiplantae; Streptophyta; Magnoliopsida; Arecales; Arecaceae.